GGGCCUGUAGCUCAAUUGGUAGAGCGUUCGCAUGGCAUGCGAAAGGCAACGGGUUCGAAUCCCGUCAGGUCCA
RNAcentral lists this transfer RNA (73 nucleotides) under Candidatus Wolfebacteria bacterium CG_4_10_14_0_8_um_filter_37_11. RNAcentral's name for it is "tRNA-Ala". It matches the Rfam family "tRNA". From Rfam's summary of the family: Transfer RNA (tRNA) molecules are approximately 80 nucleotides in length. Their secondary structure includes four short double-helical elements and three loops (D, anti-codon, and T loops). The record is from RNAcentral. Lineage: Bacteria; Candidatus Wolfeibacteriota.